CAUAGUUUAAGCACUUAUGAAAAUAUUUACAUAAAAUUCUUAUAAAUGUUUUUUGAGAUUCUUUAAUUAUGUGUGAUGAUUCUGCUAAUAUUUGUUGAGAUAAUUGAGGUAGAUUACCGGUAUUUUACCAUUGGUUUUGUAUUUUGUAUUACGUUAGCUACUUUUAAAAUACUUUUAAGUCAUUUGGAUGGUUGGUUAAGUUUUGUUAGCUUAAUUUAAAACAUUGUUUAAUCGUGUGAAUGGCUGGAGGGAUAAGGUAAUUUAAUUUCGAACACUGUUCAAUUAUUUGAAUGAUUGGUUGUAUACAAUAUUCAUUUAAAAUACUGUAUAUUGGUGUAAAUGUUUGGGUAAGUUACGUUAGCCACAUUAAAAAUACUUAACGGCGUUCUUCGGGAUAGGUGUUAUUCAAAAAACCAUUAAAUGUUCUUAAUGGAGAACCUUCUCUAGAAAAUUAGCAUUACUUGAAAUAGGGAUAACAAUCUGCAGGUAGAGAAGUAAAGAUUGUGUUAGGUAAGUUCCGGGAAGAGGAGUGGCAGAUUUAGCAUUUAAAACUGCAGAAUAAAAAGUACGAAUUUUUGAAAAAUUUAAAUAUUUAAGCUUUGUGAAACGAUUAAUAACCAUGCAACAUUUUUAAAUAAUCAAUAUUAAUAUUACAAGAGUGACAUAUUUUUAAUUAUAUAAUCUUGAUUUUUGAAAUAAAUGCUUUUUUUUUCGGAUGAGGUUGUACUAACCAGCGAAAUGAUUUUUUUUCCGUAUCUAAACUACCGCGUUAUUAUUUUCCUGCCUAGUAUUUUGUUAGUACAAUAUAUAGUACACAAUAUAUAGUGCACAAAAUAAUUUAUUACGGUUGUGGCAAACAACAGUUAACUGGUGUCACUGCUACAAAAGUUUAACAUUAUUUAGCCAAACUUGUGUUGUGAAUGUAUUACACUGAAAUAAAUAAUAAAAUCACUUCAGGCUAUAUAAAAAAAAAGAUUGUCAAAAUUAAAUGAUAUCGUAGCUUUCGUCCAUUCGAAACCUAAAUUGGGCGGAGACAAAACAAAAUACAGAAAAAAACUUAUUUUGUAAUAAAUGAGGCAAUAAAAUUAGUUAUAGGUAUCUAAUUUCUUAAUUUAUUUACUUGAAUGAAAAUAAAUUUGCCAUUAGAAUCAUCAUUUGUUGAUAACCGCCGUUCUAACAAAAUGUAAAACUCAGAUUAACGUAUAUUUCCGUAUACAUAGCCUACUUUAGCAAAAUAUCUCCAGAGUGACGUCACAAAUUGCUAGCCAGUGAAAGAGAAAGGUGCGCAAAAGGAUACAUAUAUAACUUCACGAUGAUUCACCCGUUAUGUUCACAGUUGACAGAACAGAAGAACGAAUGAAUAUCAAGCAAUGAUUUGUGUAACAUUUUCUUAAGUGUUAUGAGUACGUAAUAAAUAUUCUCGCAGAAACUGUAUGGUGUUAUGUAGGCUGAAGUAUCUAUUUAUUCGAUUUUUUAUUUAUUAGAAAACAAUUUGAUCCGAUUUCCGCAUAGUAGACGCAGCGUCGCACUGCGUGGCUGCGACUGGUUGAUAAUCGCUGGCUCCUCUGUGACAUUGUGGGCAUUGGUGAAUCAAGCUUGUCGUGAAUGUCAGUGCGCUUGCAAACUGACUCCCCUGCUGCAGCUCAUACACCGGUCGUCACUGGAUUCUGAUGUACUUUGUAAUAAUUAAGAUAGUUUCUGAACCAGAACAGUUGAUAAGCUACGGUCCUGAAUCAAAAAAGGUAAAUUUAAAAUGUGUCGUAACUUUAUCUUUGAGCCUCAUUUAGAAAAUGUUAACAUACUCACCUUUCAUUGUUAGGUACAUAUUUUUUUACACAAUCCCGCAUAACCCUGCAAGUUAUAAAAAUUCUUCCAAUGUAUGAAUUUCCCAAUUACAUACAUAUUGAUAAUGCCGAAUGUGGACUUUAUAUAUAUAUACACAUGCAUACUUACACAUAUAUGUAUAAUAAUUGAAAGAAAAUGUUUGCUUCAAUGUCUCCCCUAUAAAUAAUAAAUGAAUUACCUAUAUGAUUAAAUAUCCGUGUUCUUAGUGGAUAUAACUAGGAAAAUCUGCAUAAUUUGUAUGUAUUUUGGUAGUUAUUAAAAAAGUACAAUUAAACUUACAAUAUUAUGAAUUGUCAUACCUCUAAUGUUAAAUUUUACUCUUGUACCGAUAGCACACUGUAUCUAAGUAACAUAAUUAAGAUGUCACAGAUAUAAUAUUUAAUACUUACUAAUUUUAUUCGACAAUGUGUUUCCGAUUCAUUUGACUUCUUGCAAAUGGGUUAUAAAUUAAGUAUAACUCCAGAGACGUACCAAAUUAGGUUACCUUGAGAAACUCAUGACGUCAGCGUGUAUGGUUUAUGUGUUAGGGAAAAUUUAUUCAAAUACUGUGUAUUAAAAAAGUGCAUGACAUGGUA
Molecule: long non-coding RNA, 2420 nt
Organism: Bacillus rossius redtenbacheri
Lineage: Eukaryota; Metazoa; Arthropoda; Insecta; Phasmatodea; Bacillidae
Exons: 2
Source: RefSeq, a predicted model, not a curated record